ACAUAUCAAUAAGCGGAGGAAAAGAAACCAACAGGGAUUGCCUCAGUAACGGCGAGUGAAGCGGCAACAGCUCAAAUUUGAAAUCUGGCCCUUUCAGGGUCCGAGUUGUAAUUUGUAGAGGAUGUUUCGGGUGUGGCUCCGGUCUAAGUUCCUUGGAACAGGACGUCAUAGAGGGUGAGAAUCCCGUAUGUGACUGGUAGCCUAUGCCCAUGUGAAACUCCUUCGACGAGUCGAGUUGUUUGGGAAUGCAGCUCAAAAUGGGUGGUAAAUUUCAUCUAAAGCUAAAUAUUGGCCAGAGACCGAUAGCGCACAAGUAGAGUGAUCGAAAGAUGAAAAGCACUUUGGAAAGAGAGUUAAACAGUACGUGAAAUUGUUGAAAGGGAAGCGCUUGCAACCAGACUUGCAUGUAGCUGAUCAACCGGUGUUCUCACCGGUGCACUCAGUUGCGUUCAGGCCAGCAUCGGUUUCGACGGUUGGAUAAAGGCCUUGGGAAUGUAGCUCCUCUCGGGGAGUGUUAUAGCCCAGGGUGCAAUGCAGCCUGUUGGGACCGAGGACCGCGCUUCGGCUAGGAUGCUGGCGUAAUGGUUGUAAGCGACCCGUCUUGAAACACGGACCAAGGAGUCUAACAUCUAUGCGAGUGUUUGGGUGUCAAACCCAUACGCGUAAUGAAAGUGAACGGAGGUGAGAACCCUUAAGGGUGCAUCAUCGACCGAUCCUGAUGUCUUCGGAUGGAUUUGAGUAAGAGCAUAGCUGUUGGGACCCGAAAGAUGGUGAACUAUGCCUGAAUAGGGUGAAGCCAGAGGAAACUCUGGUGGAGGCUCGCAGCGGUUCUGACGUGCAAAUCGAUCGUCAAAUUUGGGUAUAGGGGCGAAAGACUAAUCGAACCAUCUAGUAGCUGGUUCCUGCCGAU
RNAcentral lists this ribosomal RNA (910 nucleotides) under Phacidiopycnis washingtonensis. RNAcentral describes it as "eukaryotic LSU rRNA". It matches the Rfam family "Eukaryotic large subunit ribosomal RNA", at positions 38 to 965 of the family's 3401-position model. The record is from RNAcentral. Lineage: Eukaryota; Fungi; Ascomycota; Leotiomycetes; Phacidiales; Phacidiaceae.